Molecule: ribosomal RNA, 200 nt
Filed under: uncultured bacterium
Lineage: Bacteria
Description: partial 16S ribosomal RNA
Rfam family: Bacterial small subunit ribosomal RNA
Source: RNAcentral
AGAGUUUGAUCCUGGCUCAGGACUAACGCUGGCGGCGUGCCUAACACAUGCAAGUCGAACGAAGUAGCAAUACUUAGUGGCAGACGGGUGAGUAACACGUGGUCAACCUGCCCUUCAAUGGGGGAUAACUAGCCGAAAGGUUAGCUAAUACCGCAUACGAUCGCCGAGUGGCAUCACAUGGCGAUGAAAGGAGUAAUCCG